UUUUUUUUUUUUUUUUUUUUUUUUUUUUUUUUUUUUUCGUUUAUACAAAGUGCCAGGUGUUUUGAGGACAUCAGUAAUGAAGCACAAAAGAUCAAACUGAAUUGCAUUAGACUUUUUUGUUUUUGGUGUAAGCAGAUAUAUCCAGAAGAUACUGAGUGCAUUAUAGAUAUUCUAGGAUCUUGUUAGAAUGUUGGAUCAGUUUUUCUUUUGCCUAAAGUAAAUAUGGUUUUCAGCACAACCUAUGUGCUGGUUUAGUCUAUACAUACUACUGUUACCUUCACAAAAAAAAAAAAAAAAAAAAAAAAAUUGCCAGGUGUUUGGAAAAAAUGUCACUGUAAGAAAUUCGGACCUUGUUCGCACUGUUGAGGAGUGGAAAUCUCAGUUUUAUAUACCUUUAAGUUCUUACUGAUUUUCACUUUCAAGUUGCUUUAGUUGUUUCGUUGAGGAAAUUCAUGUCGCGCCUCAAUUUUUACUUCACUAGUUUUGGACACGGGCGUUGCACGUGUGUCCCAUGGAAGUAGUAUAAACGAUAUAAAUUAUAUUAAAGAUGCAGCGAAAUGAGUUAUAACAAAAAUAAUUUAGUGAAAAAGUAAGUUAAUUGGGCGGUGUUAGAGCUUUUCAUUUGAAGUUUUCGGAUUCAUUGGCAUUGCCUGUGUAUGAGGCUUUGCCUGAUCAAAGAGAAAAUACCGAGAAGAAAAAGUAGAGAAAGUGAAAUCUUGGGUCUUCAAAAGAUUUUUCCAGCUAGAUAUCAGCCUGUAAUAAUAUAGAAAGAGCAUGUUCGUCGACUUUGUUGUGUUUAAAGAGUGGGACUUGUAGUGUUUUGAAAAUUGGGAGAGGAGGAAUGGAAAAUGGUGAAGUUGUGGAGAAUGUUUUAGCUGCCAUUGAAGCAAUUGUUGAGUUUGUUCCGAAAAAAUUGGGUGGUGUUAGAGCUUUUCAUUUGAAGUUUUCUGAUUCAUUGGCAUUGCCUGUUUAUGAGGGUAAGUAAUCGACGCAUAGGCUCACAAUCAAAUGUUACAUUUUUUUUGGUAAAUUUGGAUCAAGUGUUUCCGUUUUUAAUCUUAUUAGGUAGUGAAUACAACAAUGUGUUCUUUUUCCUUUUGCUUCUUUUCAUUGUCUGGCUUGAUCCGGUGUCGUUUCAAAGUGAGAAAUUCUAAUGUUAUAUUUCUUGGUAGCUUAUCAGUGUAGUCGGUUCAAUUUAUGAUAAAAGCGAGAGUUUCAAUCAUCAUGCGCUUCAAAGGCCAGUGUUUCAUACUUUUCUAUUUUAGCUAGUUGUUGUUGUGUAUUACACGUGCAACUAUUUCUAAUCAUUGGGAUCAUGCGAGAAUUUUGCUCUAAUAUCUUGAGCAGUCAUAAACUUUAGCUGAUUCCUGAUCACUCAUAUUUUCAGGUUUACAAAACUAAAAGCGUUGAUAAUUUUGGUUUUGGAUUCUGCAUAGGACAGCUAUCUGUUAUGACAUUUUAUAUGUGGAUUAUGUAUGUGCUUAUUUUAUGUCAUAAAUGCUAAGCAGCAGCAGCAGCAGCACAGGUAUUAUGCUAGGACAAGUUUCAUUUUAAUAAUAUGGUGAUGAGGUAAUCAUUGGUAUGGACAACAAAGGAUCCGAACAUGAGAUACGUAAAAUAAAACAUCCAAGGUUCAUUACAGAGCUUUUAUGCAGAAAUGUUGUAUCUUAGAUGGAAGAAAUAAGGUCUCUCUCUUUGAGGAAUGUGAUGCAAUCAUCAAACAUCUCUUCAAUGGACUUGAAUUUCAUUCCUAAGCCCUCCAGCUUCGAAGUGUUGAAUUCAUAGGGAGGUCGAUCCAGUUCCUUAAACCUGAAAUAGCAGUGUUGGCAAAUGUGAAUCUUCAUCAAAACGGGGCAGAGCUACAUCUUAUGAAGGGAAAAGGAAAAGGAAUGUUAUGCAACUGAUGGGUUUGAGCCAUCUACCUCAACUGUAGAAGGCAAGGAGCUCACCAAAUUAGCCACCCUCAACGCCAUGAAGGGAAUUCAAUUCCUCAGUCGGAAAAUUAUAUUGUGUAAAAGGAUAGAAAGAACCGGAGUUCUUUAUAUAUAUGUUGAAUCCCCCUGUACACGGAAAGCUUUAGGGUAGUGGCAGUUCAAAAAUUGCUUUAGGUCGCAGGUUUGAAUCCUUUUUAUGGAAUUCUUGUGUUCUUUUUUUUAGUCCCUUCGUUAGAAUUUCUGUUUUCGCCAUUGUAUGUGACAUAGACAAGUAAUGAGAGUAUGAUUAGUUCGAUGUACCUGGAUCUCUAACUGUGCCAAUGACAUGAUAACCAGACAAGAGAAGGCGUUUGAUCAACCAUGAAGCUACAAAACCAGAUGCACCUGUCACACACACUUUUCCCUUGUAAUUAUUGGUGUUUUCUUCUACUACUACAUUUUUAUCCUCCAUUAUUUCCAUGCUUUACAACUUCUU
Molecule: long non-coding RNA, 2409 nt
Organism: Lycium ferocissimum
Lineage: Eukaryota; Viridiplantae; Streptophyta; Magnoliopsida; Solanales; Solanaceae
Exons: 3
Source: RefSeq, a predicted model, not a curated record